CCGUUAAACCUCACCAUCUUUAGCCAUUCCCGCCUAUAUACCGCCGUCGUCAGCUUACCCUGUGAGGGAGUAAUAGUAAGCAAAAUUGACAUAAUCCAAAACGUCAGGUCGAGGUGUAGCGAAUGAGAUGGGAAGAAAUGGGCUACAUUUUCUAACACAGAACAAUACGAACAACACCAUGAAAAAUGGUGCUCGAAGGAGGAUUUAGUAGUAAAAAGGAAACAGAGUGUCCUUUUGAACCCGGCUCUAAGGCGCGUACACACCGCCCGUCACCCUCCCCUGUCAACCGCAUCAUACAGUACAUCACAACAAAGCACUGACAAGGGGAGGCAAGUCGUAACAUGGUAAGUGUACCGGAAGGUGCACUUGGAUCAAACC
RNAcentral lists this ribosomal RNA (378 nucleotides) under Botia dario (Bengal loach). Its description in RNAcentral is "partial 12S ribosomal RNA". It matches the Rfam family "Bacterial small subunit ribosomal RNA", at positions 961 to 1529 of the family's 1533-position model. Lineage: Eukaryota; Metazoa; Chordata; Actinopteri; Cypriniformes; Botiidae. The record is from RNAcentral.